Oncorhynchus tshawytscha (Chinook salmon) is the source of this 4447-nucleotide long non-coding RNA. Lineage: Eukaryota; Metazoa; Chordata; Actinopteri; Salmoniformes; Salmonidae. The record is from Ensembl.
UUUACCUCUCCAAAUGACUUUAGGACCAUCGACUGUCCGAGCCCCCCAGGAGGUAUCCCAUCUACCAGAACCAGUGAGUUCGGAUCAGUCUGAUUCUCUGUGCUCUGAGUCGGAGGGGGACUAGCUUGAGAGCUAGGGGUUUUGGCCAACACCCAGAUCCACCUGAUGUCCUCCAUUACCAACCAUUGUUUUCAUUACCUCAUCUACAGCUACUGUUGUCAUUACGUCAUCUACAGCUACGGUUAUCAUUAUCUGCUAAGAAAGCUGUCUUGCGCUAUCAUACUGGGCACAUAAUAUGUGAGAGACACAGAUUAACUAAAAACAUUAGCACUGAAAAUCCUCUGAACAAAGCGAACAGCAGUGCCUGGACUUCGCAGUCUCCUUCUUCAAGUCCCCCCUUCUGAGACUGGGUGCCUGUUGAGAACAAGUGACAGGCAGAAUCUCCCACCCACACAGCAACCACCUCCUAUAUUCCACACACCAGAAUUAUGUAUUUAGUCUAUGAUUGCCAUGUGAAAAUAAAUUAAUGACACAACUGUACCAAAAAAUAUCAACGUUUCUGUGUUACAAUCUUAAAUAUUGACGGGUUGGUUUUCACAACAUGUUCAUUGCUGUAAGGUAUCCUUUGAUGGUAUUUAUUUGUUCCUCAUUAUUCAUUGAAUGUAGUAAAUUCUGCCGUAGGGAAAGCGUGCAUCUCACAGGUGAGGGCAACGACCUCUUCCUUGAGUUUGAGAGCUGAUCCCUCUUUUGUUCUAGCAAGAGCUGUGCUCUUGGGGUAAUUCUCAAAAUGCAUUUAUUUUUAAUUUUUAAAAGGAAGUGUCAGGGAACAUUGUUUUUUACAUGUAUCUAACCUUUGUGUAGUGACAGUGUCCAUAUAUACUGUACUUCCAUAAAUGUUUUAUACUGGUAUAAGGGGACUUUAUGUAUUAACCUAUCAAGAUCAAAUAUUGUAGUUGGGCAACAUAUGAGAUGUGAAUAUAAAACAUUUCAUUCUGAAGUUGGAGUGUACUUUCUCUUGAUUCAGCUCAAAUAACGGCCGUCAUUGAUUUAAAGAAAUGUUGUGACAUUUUUUACGUGGUUGCGUCAUAUUUCUUUGCGUACUUUCUAUUGAAGCUUGCAUCAAUGCAUGCUUCAAAAUAUGUACAAACGGAGUUUGCAUUUUGAGAAGUGCCCUCCAUGCUCCAUUUCGCAUGCUUUCAUUUGGAAUCGUACUCCGAUCCUCCCGUGCUCCAAUUUUCGUUGUAUGCAUUUUGAGAAUUACCCAUCGACUUUGACAGACCAUUUAAAUUUCUUGAAUCCUUCCUUCCAAAAUGAUUUUGUUCAUUUACUCAAUAGUGAUUUCACGUUUAUUUAUCUUGCUUGGUUAAAAUACAAUACUCAAAAACAGUCGAUUUGUUGACUCAUUUAAUCACGUUAAAACCCAUUUCCUUUUCUUUUGACUGUGUGCUACUACAGGCGGCAACCUGAUCUCAUACCAUUUCUUAUUAUUCUGUAUGGAUAUUUUUAUGUGAAGGUGGCGAGGCAGUCCUUCGUGGGCAAAUUUUGUCAUCAAACUUUGUAAUCAAAGUCUGUCAUUCUCUGGAUUUAUGGUGAUUUCAAGACAACUGGGAACUCUGAAAAAAACAAGGUUGAAUCAUGAUGACGUCAGUGAUCUUCAGGUCAUAGCUCUAGAAUGAGGCCUGAGUUCCCAACUUACAAUUCCGAGUUGGCCAGUUUGUUUUGUGGCGUCAAGCCUACCAGUAUUUUACCCUUGCUCCUGUCUUUCUCUAGUUCCUGUUUUUCUGUACCUUUCGUACUCUGCUCUGGAUUAUGGACCUAUGCCUGCCCUUGACCUGUCGUUUGCCUACCCCACUGUUUUUGUAACAAACUUCUGUUACUUUGAAACUGUCUGCAUCUGGGUCUUCUCCUGCGCAUUGACAGUACGAACUGGCCAAUAUGGACCCAGCAGACUCGGACCAGCUUCGCAACGCCGUCUCCUCCCAAGGAGCCGCCAUUGGAAAGCACGAGGAGUUGCUUCCUGUUCUUAUAGAAGGGUUCCAGACCUUGGCUGAACGCCAUGACCGCUCGUUGAACACUUUGCUGGAGCAAUUCCGCGUGUUGUCUGUCAGGCAGCCUACCAUGACAGUAACCUCCCAGCCCCUCAGUAAACCGGCUGUUAGCAGCGCCGCCACCCCGGUUUCCCGGGAACCCCGCUUACCUCCCCCGAAACGCUUUGCUGGAUAGUCAGGAACCUGUAGGGCAUUUCCCACGCAGUGUUCUCUCAUCAUUGAGCUGCAGCCCUCCUCCUCCCCCUCAAACCGCUCGAAGAUAGUGUAUCUCAUCACGCUGAUGUCCUGGAGGGCUCUCACCUGGGCUACGGUCGUGUGGGAACAACAGUCGGUCGUAUGCUUCAGUCUGGAGGAGUUUGUGGCGGAGGUGAAGAAGGUUUUCGAUUCUCCAUGGUCCGGGAGAGAGGCUGCCCGGAAGUUACUCCAGCUUCGGCAAGACUCCCGCAGUGUGGCAGACUAUGCAGUGGAUUUCUGCUCAUUGGCAGCUGAGAGUUGCUGGAACCCGGAAUCGUUAUUCGACACGUUCCUGCAUGGAUUAUCGGAGGAAGUGAUGAAUGAGCUAGCAGCCCGGGAACUACCGAUGGAUCUCGACUCGCUCAUUGCCUUCGACCUUCCGUAUUGAUAGGCGGCUAUGGGAAUGUAGGAAGGAGGUCCAAUUUCACUCUCCCACCCAAGGAUUCCACCUCGCCUCUGAGGCAUCCCGGAAGUCCCCGACGUCUGGGUGGCCGAAAGUCUGCCGAUUCACCUCUUCCCGAGCCGAUGCAACUAGGCAGAGCUAGGCUGUCCCCAGCCUAACAUCUACACCAGCUCCUCAUGAAAAGUUGCCUGUAUUGAGGGACUACUGGUCAUUUUUUGUCUUCCUGUCCACUAAAAGACCAGGCUCACCGGUAGGGGCAAGUACUCUGGUGUUCCAUAUGGAUAACUUUUCCUCUCUCCUUACUCGCACCCCUUUCCAUGCCAUCCUGCUGUGGGGGAACUAGUUGAAAUCUCUCCGGGUACUCAUUGACUCUGGGGCCGAUAAGAGUUUUAUGGACGCUCCCCUGGUGUCCGAGCUGGGCAUCCCCACUCAGCCCCUUUCCAUUCCCAAUUGACGUUAGAGCGCUGGACGGGCGCUCUAUAUGCCGGGUCACUCACAAUACCACUCCAAUCAACCUUUGAGUGUCAGAGAAUCAGAGCAAGGCAAUCCAAUUCAUACUAAUUAAGUCUCCUCCGGAUCCUGUGGUAUUAGGAUUCUCUUGGUGACACAAUUGCUCAUAGACUGGACUGCUGGUGCCAUCAUGGGCUGGAGCCCGUUCUGCCUCUCCCAAUUCCUUGAAGUCAGCUCAGCCGGCCCUGGGAUGUCUUCCUGUGGGCUUGGAAGUUGGGCCACUUUACUCCCACCGCACCGACCCUAUAAACUGCGGGAUCGCCCUUCUCUCAGGCACCACACCGCUCCGGGGACGACUGUACUCUCGGUCAGGUCCGGAGACCUACAUCAAGGACUCCCUAGCUGCAGGGUGUAUCCGUCCUUCUGCCUUCCCCGCCAGUGUACAUUGUCUGUAAAUCCCAGCUCGCCUGGUACAUUGUUUGCUGUCACAACCCAUUCGGGAUGCACCGUUUCAGUUUCAAUGACUCAAUAUUUUGAACAAAAUCGGACGACUUGUAACUAAGGCUGGGAAUGUCAAUACAAUCAAACUAGCAAGGGUAAUGAUCACAAGUCCGUCAUAAUGUGGCUAAUAGGCUAGCACACAUGUGUCAAACAAGGUCUGUGGGCCGAAUAGGACACACAAGCGAGUAUAAAUUAGUCGACAGUUGAAUCAUCUACUUUAGGAAAUUACAGCCUGAUGUGAUGGCAUUGGCGAAUUUAACUUAAAUUGUGUUACUUUUGUGUGUCUCAUUUACAGCGCGCAGCAGAAUGAAAGUGUACAGACGCAAGCCACAGUCCUAGCUAGGCUACUAAAAUGUUGCAGUCUGACUUUGGUUUUUAAAGCUUGACAAUUAAUAAACAAAAAGCAAAACACAAUUCAAAGUAGAAACAUUUAGGCCUAUUAGAGCAACAUUUGAGCAGUAGCCUAGGUUGGCUCUCAAGCACAAUAGCUACAUAUUGAGUUCACCAUACUGCAAUUCAAUCGCACUGUUGAUCCAUCCAGUGCAAGAAAAUGAAAAACAUGUUUUAAGUUGAAAUGUUUCAACAACCUAUACAGUAGCUACAUUUUUGUAUUUUGAAAUUAUAACAUACUUUUUGAUUAGGCUUGCAACAUAUUAUGCACAUCUGUAUAAGGUUGAACAGGCUGAAGAAAUAUUAUUUUCCUCUUUUUGUUUUAAUAUGUUAAAAUGCUAUAUACAGCAUCCUAUGUACACAAGUUGACAUUAUAAAGGGCCAUAUUUUUCAAAUAAAACAAUGGCCAUUUUGGGUAUCA